UACGUAGGUGGCAAGCGUUGUCCGGAUUUACUGGGCGUAAAGAGCGCGCAGGCGGUCGUUCAAGUCGCGUGUGAAAGCCCCCGGCUCAACUGGGGAGGGUCACGCGAUACUGAUCGACUCGAAGGCAGGAGAGGGUAGUGGAAUUCCCGGUGUAGUGGUGAAAUGCGUAGAUAUACGGAGGAACACCAGAGGCGAAGGCGGAUCGCUGGGCCAACACUGACGCUGAGACGCGAAAGCUAGGGGAGCAAACGGG
RNAcentral lists this ribosomal RNA (253 nucleotides) under uncultured bacterium. RNAcentral describes it as "partial 16S ribosomal RNA". It matches the Rfam family "Bacterial small subunit ribosomal RNA", at positions 524 to 776 of the family's 1533-position model. The record is from RNAcentral.